RNAcentral lists this long non-coding RNA (604 nucleotides) under Homo sapiens (human). RNAcentral's name for it is "non-protein coding TPT1-AS1:6". The record is from RNAcentral. Lineage: Eukaryota; Metazoa; Chordata; Mammalia; Primates; Hominidae.
CGUGGGAGGAGGCCAACUCUCGGGGCGCUCCCUAGCCCUGGGUGGGUGGAGCGGGGGAAGCGGAGUACGUUGGACCCGGCUCCGCCCUACCCCACGGGGCCGCCUGGAGAGGUGCUGGGAGCUGGGUGGAGCUUAGAGGAAUUAAACUUUGGCCCUGCGCCUCGUCCAGCCUAGGUUCCACCCUUUUCUGGGAACGGUCUUACUCUGUGACCCACGCUGGAGUGCAAUGGCACCAUCACGACUUACUGAAGCCUCCACUUCCCGGGCUCAAGUGAUUCUCACACCUCAGCCUCCUGAGUAGCUGAGACCACAGUUUACACCCCGCCACUCCUGAGCACCGCACACCGGCUUCCUCCCAGUCCCUCAUCUGAGAACUCAUGAAGCCACUUGGAAUCCCUCUCUGCUUUGCCUGGCUCAUUCCAUGUCAAUUUCAGAUCUUCACUUCAGGUCAGCUCCAAGGAGGCUAUCCUUGCCCAUCUUCCUAAAAUAGAGCUCUCAAAACCUGGCUGUUUUCCUUCAGAGCACUGGCCUCCAAUUGCUCCGGUAGAUUGCAAAUGACCUGCUUUCUUUCUGUUCCCGGGCGUUUGGACCCCUGUCUUGGACC